RNAcentral lists this ribosomal RNA (599 nucleotides) under Trichoderma harzianum. RNAcentral describes it as "eukaryotic LSU rRNA". The stretch from base 220 to 373 matches the Rfam family "5.8S ribosomal RNA". Lineage: Eukaryota; Fungi; Ascomycota; Sordariomycetes; Hypocreales; Hypocreaceae. The record is from RNAcentral.
ACCAGCGGAGGGAUCAUUACCGAGUUUACAACUCCCAAACCCAAUGUGAACGUUACCAAACUGUUGCCUCGGCGGGAUCUCUGCCCCGGGUGCGUCGCAGCCCCGGACCAAGGCGCCCGCCGGAGGACCAACCAAAACUCUUUUUGUAUACCCCCUCGCGGGUUUUUUAUAAUCUGAGCCUUCUCGGCGCCUCUCGUAGGCGUUUCGAAAAUGAAUCAAAACUUUCAACAACGGAUCUCUUGGUUCUGGCAUCGAUGAAGAACGCAGCGAAAUGCGAUAAGUAAUGUGAAUUGCAGAAUUCAGUGAAUCAUCGAAUCUUUGAACGCACAUUGCGCCCGCCAGUAUUCUGGCGGGCAUGCCUGUCCGAGCGUCAUUUCAACCCUCGAACCCCUCCGGGGGGUCGGCGUUGGGGAUCGGCCCUCCCUUAGCGGGUGGCCGUCUCCGAAAUACAGUGGCGGUCUCGCCGCAGCCUCUCCUGCGCAGUAGUUUGCACACUCGCAUCGGGAGCGCGGCGCGUCCACAGCCGUUAAACACCCAACUUCUGAAAUGUUGACCUCGGAUCAGGUAGGAAUACCCGCUGAACUUAAGCAUAUCAAUAA